AUCUCCUUGGGUAGCACAGGACAUCCUGUGCCCUUCCCCCAUUCCCCACUGGACUCCUUUCCCCUUCUCCCUCUUCCAAGUGUCCCCUUCCUACAUUUCAGGAUGAUGGAGACGAUCCAGCGAGAUCACAGAGGGCUCAGCAAGGUGUCAAGCCUGGGCAGAGCCUUAGACUUAAAUGGGUUAGAGUUGGAGAAACCGAGAGGAAGUGACUGGUCCAAGGCCACCUCCAACUACAGAGGGGCCCACUUAGGCAUGGAGCUGAGGAGUGGUUUCCAGGAGGGUGCUGGGAUUGCUCUUCUGUAAUGGAAGGGCUGCACCUGGCCUGUAAGCUCCCCAGUCUCUGCUCUGGCCCAGAUCCUUCAGUGCCACACUCCGUGUAUUUGACAAGCUGAGUUGGACACUCCGUGUCGUAGAGUGUCAGUUUGUCAAAUACCCCAAGUGAGGCAUUUGCCUAGCAACCCUGGACUGGGGCAGGAUGGAUGAUGGAGAAACUGUCUCUGCCAGCCUUGGAUGUCCAGGCCCCAACCUCCGGAAAGCAGAGCUCUCUCUCUAGAGCAGAUGCCAUCUGGAUCCAGGGGACAUUUGGGGGGGAGUUGGAGACGGGUCUUUAGGGACUGUGGGGUGGGAAGGAAAGCUAAGCUUGGUUCCUGCUUAGCCACAUGACCUUGGACAAGUCCCUUCCUUUCUCAGGUGCAAGGAUCCAAUGAGACAAUUUAUGGAAAGUGCUUUGUAAAUUCUAGAACACUAGAUCAAAGUUAGUUAUUAAUAAUCGCAAGGCUUCUGGGGUCUUGUCCCACUCUAGGAGUAGCCACUAUCUCAUUAGAGAAAGGUAGUCCUUGACCCUGUUCAGGUCCUAGAGCUUUGGGGGCCCAGAAACAGACAACCCAGAAAGCAGUGGGGCACAUACCCUUUCCCAAGGGGGAGGAAAGAGGGAGGGCCCAAGCCCCAGGAACACCUGACCUUAUAGGGCUGGGCCCAGUGGGCUUGGUCAAUUUAUCCAAUCCUGUCUGAUCCCUCACAUUGGGAUGGAUUUGGAGUUGGAAAACCCAAGCCCAAUCCUUGAUUCUCACCUGUGUGGCUGUUGGGAAAGUCAUUUCUCAUCUUAAGACAUAACUUGCCCAGCUGUAAAAUG
This 1132-nucleotide long non-coding RNA is filed under the name Monodelphis domestica (gray short-tailed opossum). Its description in RNAcentral is "lncRNA (ENSMODG00000045658.1)". The stretch from base 350 to 455 matches the Rfam family "mir-223 microRNA precursor family". Lineage: Eukaryota; Metazoa; Chordata; Mammalia; Didelphimorphia; Didelphidae. The record is from RNAcentral.